CUAACAGGCAUAUUACAUAAAAGAAAACACACAACUUUGAGAGAGAAAAUAAAAUGGGUUCCAAGAUAAUGAAUGCUUUUGUUGUGAUUCUCCUAGCUAUGCUUCUUCUGUCAUCUCUGCAAGCCGUUACUGUGGAAACAUCAGCUACGAAGAGAAGUGGGGUGGAUCCGAGAUCAAAAAAGCCUCCAAGAAUUGAGAAACCUUGUUUGCCACCUACCUGCCAUCUCUGCGUGCCAUGCCCACCCUACAGUCGUCGACACUGUUGCUAGGAAGAAUGAUAUCUUGUUGUGGUGGAUGAUAUCCACACCCUCUCUAUAAUACUACCUCUGUCCCUGAAAAUUUGAUACAUAUUACCAUUUCGGUCCGUCCCUGAAAA
Salvia hispanica is the source of this 376-nucleotide non-coding RNA. NCBI's taxonomy places the organism in Eukaryota, Viridiplantae, Streptophyta, Magnoliopsida, Lamiales, Lamiaceae. The record is from RefSeq and is a predicted model, not a curated record.